RNAcentral lists this ribosomal RNA (459 nucleotides) under uncultured bacterium. RNAcentral describes it as "bacterial SSU rRNA". It matches the Rfam family "Bacterial small subunit ribosomal RNA", at positions 340 to 793 of the family's 1533-position model. The record is from RNAcentral.
UACGGGAGGCAGCAGUGGGAAUAUUGCACAAUGGGCGCAAGCCUGAUGCAGCCAUGCCGCGUGUAUGAAGAAGGCCUUCGGGUUGUAAAGUACUUUCAGCAGUGAGGAAGGUGGGUAUGUUAAUAGCAUACUCAUUUGACGUUAGCUGCAGAAGAAGCACCGGCUAACUCCGUGCCAGCAGCCGCGGUAAUACGGAGGGUGCGAGCGUUAAUCGGAAUUACUGGGCGUAAAGCGCAUGCAGGUGGUUUGUUAAGUCAGAUGUGAAAGCCCGGGGCUCAACCUCGGAAUUGCAUUUGAAACUGGCAAACUAGAGUACUGUAGAGGGGGUAGAAUUUCAGGUGUAGCGGUGAAAUGCGUAGAGAUCUGAAGGAAUACCGGUGGCGAAGGCGGCCCCCUGGACAGAUACUGACACUCAGAUGCGAAAGCGUGGGGAGCAAACAGGAUUAGAUACCCUGGUAG